AAGACAGACAUCUGAGUGCUUAUUUCACCUGUAACAUGGGCCUGGAAGAUUGGCAUGAGUUGUUAAAAUAACGUGUGUCCACUACAAUGCCAGCCACAGGUUAGUACUUACGGAAGGUCAGCCAUGGUUUCAGGAACAUAGCGAUCAACACAGCAAAACCUCUACACUCUGGAGUCUUCCUUCUGGAGAGCAGAAGAGGGUAUUAAUGACUGCUGUGAACAGUAAUACCAAAUAAUAGUAAUUGAAGGAAAAUUUUAAUCUGUGAACAAUUCUUUUCAAUUAUCAAUAUCUCUUUUCAGUCAGUAUUUGCAGCCUCUGCCUCAUCAAAUAUUCUCUUCAGAAAAAUGGGGGACACAGCAGAAGAGUUGAGUCCCAGGCCUGGUUCUACAGACCUGAGCGAAUACGAAACCUUGCUGGGCCUCCCUCUGCUCAGUAAGUGGUGAUCACACGGCCUCCAAGCAGGCGGUGAGGCUCUUAGUAAAAUGGGAACAUUUUAUCAUUGUGUAAAUGUAAGGCUCUUUGUGUAAAUGUGUAGUAAUCUCUUUAGGCAAAUCUUUUUAUUGGAAGUGGACAUUCUCUUUCUUUUUUUUUUUUUUUUAAUCUCUCCACCCCCAGUCUUUGACUCAAGAUUUUAAAGAUUGCUAUUAAAAGACAAGUGUGUUAGCACAUUAAGAUACUAUCAGGUAGCAGAUAACUUUUAAAAAGUUAAUUACUCAAAUUUGUCCCAGUAGAUGGAACUGUGAUGCCUUGGGGCACCGUGAGGCUUUGCAUAAUGGGAAGAAGGGUUUCGGGAACGCCCGGUCCUUGGCUCUUGGUGCUUAAUACAAAAACAAAAGAAAACCAACAAAACCCUGUGCAGAAAGGACCCUCGAGACAAACGCUCUUUGCAGUCUCGCCUUGGGCUUGUGUAAUUCACCGUCUGGAGAACGGCACAAAAUAUGUGGAUGAGCAGGACCCGAAGUCAGUAGGACAUGCUGGAACGCGCAUCACUCUCUCACUGCCUGCAAGCGUCCAACCUCAAUGAUGUGAGGGACCAGUAGAAGAUGGUGUCCUUCAUCAUGGAGGUAAAUGCAUAAUUGGCCCAGCAGCUGGAGUUGCUAAAGCAGGAUCUGGCGGAAGCUGGAGGAGCUAGGGGCCCAGUCCAAUAAGGAAGGUCAGCCUCGGGUAAGUAUGUGAGCUGCAAGAGAGCCUGCUGCCCUGCAGUGACCUUUCAAACAUGAACAACGUGGCUGUGCCUUUGCUCUUGUCUUCCAAAUCUUUCAAAUCUCUCGGGGUUGGCUAACCUAGAAUUAUGGGAAAUCAGAGACAUGUAGUUUCAGUUAUCUGUUACUGUGGAACAAACUACCCCCAAACCCAUAGCUUAAAACAGGACCAUUCGUUUUAGUUCAGGAAUAUGCAGCUUGGGCAGGGCUCGGUGAGGACAGCUUAUCUGUGCUCCAAAUGGUGUCAGCCAUAGUGGCUCCAUGAACUGGCUGGAGGCGGGCUGGGGACUGGACUCCUCCGAAUGCUGUCCACUGGAAUAGUCAGCACUCUGUGUGGUCUCUCUGGCAUGGCAGCCUUAUGGUAGCUAGACUUUUUACUGGAGAUUCAGGGUGCCAAAGAUAUAUGACUCAAGAGAGAGGGAGAGGGAGCUACAGAGGGAGACAAACAGGAAGAUGGGAUUUCUAUUCUGGUUGUCCUUUAUUAGCUAUGCCACUUUAAGCAGGUCAUUUAUUCUCUCUCAACCUCAGUUCUCAAAUUUUAAAGAUCAGGAUUCACUCUGCCCAGAAGAUGACUCUGAGACAAUAAUUUGAGUGGAAGUAGUUUAUUUGGGAGUUAAUCCCAGGAAGUAUCAGAAGGCAGCUGAGAAGUAUUCAGGGAAGAGAGGAAGCUAGUCACCAGGUAAGUCACCACAGUGGGCAGCUGGAGCUUAAAACCUCUGCGGAACCCUAGGGAAACACUGUAAAAUAUAUACCACAGAGCUAUUUUGUCCAAGGGUUCAGGAUCUGGGAUAUUUAUACAUCAAUGCCCAUCAGUCAUUGGUUGAGGACUCUGGGGAUUAAUUCCUCAGCACUUUUUUUUCCCUUUAAGUUUAUUUAUUUAUUUAUUUAUUUAUUUAUUUAGAGAGCACAAGUGAGAGAUAGCAGAAAGACACAGGGAGAGAGAGAAUCCUAAGCAGUCUCCAUGCUCUGUCAGUGCAGAACCUAACUGGGGCUCCAUCUCAUGAAAUGUGAGAUUAUGACCUGAGCCGAAAUCAAGAGCCAGAAGCUUAACCGACUGAACCACCAGGUGCCCCAAUUUCUCAGCACCUUUGGUCUACUGAGUUCCAUGCAGGUGGGAAAAACCCUUAGACAAAGAGAUACAGGUGCUGUUGGAGGAAAAUGAGCAGAUUUGCAUUGCUGAAGGGAUAUGAACAAGGCAUCAACGGGGUUUGCUACAGAGUAUAGUAGCUGUGUUUUAAGGUUGUUGAGGAAUUAAAAUGAGAUGGUAUUUAAAAAAAAAAUCCACUCCUGGUGUGAUGGCGCCUGUAUUUGCUUUGGCACAGACCAUUGCAGGAUUCAAAGAACGCCCUCAGAGGUCCAGGAGCUUUCAAUACUCACAUCGGGAGACACUGCCAAUUUCCUGAAAGGCAGUCUCAAGAAACGGCAAUAAUAUAAAUGCAUUACCCACCUCCCUUAAUAGACUUCUGCACUGCUUGUUAAAUUCUGUCUUUUCCUCUAAUAACCUGUCACUCUGUGGGAGUUCAGACCUCUCCAGUGGUUCCUCAUAACCCAGUCUCAUCUACACAAGACUUGCUACCUUGGUUAAUCUUACCCAAGCUCCACCCCUUGCAGAUCUCUGCCAUCUUCCUCCCUCCCCCUGCCUAGCCCCUAAAUGUUCUGGAACUCAUGAUCUGGUGAUAUUGUCCAAGAACGGUUGCAAACCCGUGUUAUUAUGAUAUUGGAUUCUUCAGUUCGUGGUCAUUUGAUAGAUAUCUGCGCCUCUCUUAAGGUUUUUGAGCCGAGGAGUGACACAAUCCAAUCUUUGGGAAGAUUCUGGUGUGCAGGAUUAAAAAGAUAGGAAAGAGGGGAAAGCAGAGUCCGUGUGUGUAUGUGUGAAGUUAUUA
This is a long non-coding RNA of Lynx canadensis (Canada lynx), 3085 nucleotides long. The record is from Ensembl. Lineage: Eukaryota; Metazoa; Chordata; Mammalia; Carnivora; Felidae.